This is a transfer RNA of Piromyces finnis, 73 nucleotides long. It matches the Rfam family "tRNA". Rfam says of the family: Transfer RNA (tRNA) molecules are approximately 80 nucleotides in length. Their secondary structure includes four short double-helical elements and three loops (D, anti-codon, and T loops). Further hydrogen bonds mediate the characteristic L-shaped molecular structure. tRNAs have two regions of fundamental functional importance: the anti-codon, which is responsible for specific mRNA codon recognition, and the 3' end, to which the tRNAs corresponding amino acid is attached (by aminoacyl-tRNA synthetases). tRNAs cope with the degeneracy of the genetic code in two manners: having more than one tRNA (with a specific anti-codon) for a particular amino acid; and 'wobble' base-pairing, i.e. permitting non-standard base-pairing at the 3rd anti-codon position. Lineage: Eukaryota; Fungi; Neocallimastigomycota; Neocallimastigomycetes; Neocallimastigales; Neocallimastigaceae. The record is from Rfam.
AUCCAAAUAGUGUAGUGGUUAUCACGUUUCCUUUACACGGAAAAGGUCUCCGGUUCGAACCCGGGUUUGGGUA